This 465-nucleotide ribosomal RNA is filed under the name uncultured bacterium. Its description in RNAcentral is "partial 16S ribosomal RNA". It matches the Rfam family "Bacterial small subunit ribosomal RNA", at positions 28 to 507 of the family's 1533-position model. The record is from RNAcentral.
GAUGAACGCUGGCGGCGUGCUUAACACAUGCAAGUCGAACGGAAAGGCUCCUGCUUGCAGGGGUACUCGAGUGGCGAACGGGUGAGUAACACGUGGGUGAUCUGCCCUGCACUUCGGGAUAAGCCUGGGAAACUGGGUCUAAUACCGGAUAGGACCACAUUUUGGAUGGUGUGGUGGAAAGUUUUUCGGUGUGGGAUGAGCUCGCGGCCUAUCAGCUUGUUGGUGGGGUAAUGGCCUACCAAGGCGUCGAAGGGUAGCCGGCCUGAGAGGGUGUACGGCCACAUUGGGACUGAGAUACGGCCCAGACUCCUACGGGAGGCAGCAGUGGGGAAUAUUGCACAAUGGGCGCAAGCCUGAUGCAGCGACGCCGCGUGGGGGAUGACGGCCUUCGGGUUGUAAACUCCUUUCGCUAGGGACGAAGCGCAAGUGACGGUAACUGGAGAAGAAGCACCGGCUAACUACGUG